RNAcentral lists this ribosomal RNA (277 nucleotides) under uncultured Paludibacter sp. RNAcentral's name for it is "partial 16S ribosomal RNA". It matches the Rfam family "Bacterial small subunit ribosomal RNA", at positions 511 to 788 of the family's 1533-position model. The record is from RNAcentral. Lineage: Bacteria; Pseudomonadati; Bacteroidota; Bacteroidia; Bacteroidales; Paludibacteraceae.
GCAGCCGCGGUAAUACGGAGGAUUCGAGCGUUAUCCGGAUUUAUUGGGUUUAAAGGGUGCGUAGGCGGUUAAAUAAGUUUGAGGUUAAAUGCAUUAGCUCAACUAAUGUUUGCCUUGAAAACUGUUUGACUAGGAUGUAAACGGCGCAGGCGGAAUGAAUCAUGUAGCGGUGACAUGCAUAGAUAUGAUUCAGAACACCGAUCGCGAAGGCAGCUUGCGAGGAUACGAUUGACGCUGAAGCACGAAAGCGUGGGUAUCGAACAGGAUUAGAUACCCC